This 397-nucleotide ribosomal RNA is filed under the name uncultured bacterium. RNAcentral describes it as "partial 16S ribosomal RNA". It matches the Rfam family "Bacterial small subunit ribosomal RNA", at positions 523 to 918 of the family's 1533-position model. The record is from RNAcentral.
AUACGUAGGUGGCAAGCGUUAUCCGGAAUUACUGGGUGUAAAGGGCGCGCAGGCGGCCUUGCAAGUCGGAUGUGAAGGAUCAAGGCUCAACCUUGACAGGUCAUCCGAAACUGUAAGACUUGAGUGUCAGAGGGGAAAGUGGAAUUCCUAGUGGAGCGGUAAAAUGCGCAGAUAUUAGGAGGAACACCGGUGGCGAAGGCGACUUUCUGGCCGACAACUGACGCUGAGGCGCGAAAGCGUGGGGAGCAAACAGGAUUAGAUACCCUGGUAGUCCACGCCGUAAACGAUGAUUACUAGGUGUAGGGGGUAUCGACUCCCUCUGUGCCACAGUUAACGCAGUAAGUAAUCCACCUGGGGAGUACGGCCGCAAGGUUAAAACUCAAAUGAAUUGACGGGG